Molecule: ribosomal RNA, 472 nt
Filed under: uncultured bacterium
Lineage: Bacteria
Description: partial 16S ribosomal RNA
Rfam family: Bacterial small subunit ribosomal RNA
Source: RNAcentral
GACGAACGCUGGCGGCGUGCUUAACACAUGCAAGUCGAACGCUGAAGCUUGGUGCUUGCACUGGGUGGAUGAGUGGCGAACGGGUGAGUAAUACGUGAGUAACCUGCCCUUGACUCUGGGAUAAGCCUGGGAAACUGGGUCUAAUACUGGAUACGACAUGUCACCGCAUGGUGGUGUGUGGAAAGGGUUUUACUGAUUUUGGAUGGGCUCACGGCCUAUCAGCUUGUUGGUGGGGUAAUGGCUCACCAAGGCGACGACGGGUAGCCGGCCUGAGAGGGUGACCGGCCACACUGGGACUGAGACACGGCCCAGACUCCUACGGGAGGCAGCAGUGGGGAAUAUUGCACAAUGGGCGAAAGCCUGAUGCAGCGACGCCGCGUGAGGGAUGACGGCCUUCGGGUUGUAAACCUCUUUCAGCACGGAAGAAGCGAAAGUGACGGUACGUGCAGAAGAAGCGCCGGCUAACUACGUG